RNAcentral lists this ribosomal RNA (458 nucleotides) under Terrahaemophilus aromaticivorans. RNAcentral describes it as "bacterial SSU rRNA". It matches the Rfam family "Bacterial small subunit ribosomal RNA", at positions 30 to 480 of the family's 1533-position model. Lineage: Bacteria; Pseudomonadati; Pseudomonadota; Gammaproteobacteria; Pasteurellales; Pasteurellaceae. The record is from RNAcentral.
AUUGAACGCUGGCGGCAGGCUUAACACAUGCAAGUCGAACGGUAACAUAAAGAAGCUUGCUUCUUUGAUGACGAGUGGCGGACGGGUGAGUAAUGCUUGGGAAUCUGGCUUAUGGAGGGGGAUAACUACGGGAAACUGUAGCUAAUACCGCGUAGAAUCGGGAGAUGAAAGUGUGGGACCUUCGGGCCACAUGCCAUAGGAUGAGCCCAAGUGGGAUUAGGUAGUUGGUGAGGUAAAGGCUCACCAAGCCGACGAUCUCCAGCUGGUCUGAGAGGAUGACCAGCCACACUGGGACUGAGACACGGCCCAGACUCCUACGGGAGGCAGCAGUGGGGAAUAUUGCGCAAUGGGGGCAACCCUGACGCAGCCAUGCCGCGUGAAUGAAGAAGGCCUUCGGGUUGUAAAGUUCUUUCGGUACGUCGAGGAAGGCAUUUAGUUUAAUAGACUAGGUGAUUGAC